This 253-nucleotide ribosomal RNA is filed under the name uncultured bacterium. RNAcentral describes it as "partial 16S ribosomal RNA". It matches the Rfam family "Bacterial small subunit ribosomal RNA", at positions 524 to 776 of the family's 1533-position model. The record is from RNAcentral.
UACGAAGGGUGCUAGCGUUGUUCGGAAUUACUGGGCGUAAAGCGCGCGUAGGUGGCUAUCCAAGUCAGAGGUGAAAUGCCGGGGCUUAACCCUGGAACUGCCUUUGAAACUAGAUAGCUAGAGUACUGGAGGGGUUGGCGGAAUUCCUAAUGUAGCGGUGAAAUGCGUAGAUAUUAGGAGGAACACCGGUGGCGAAGGCGGCCAACUGGACAGUAACUGACACUGAGGCGCGAAAGCGUGGGGAUCAAACAGG